Molecule: ribosomal RNA, 429 nt
Filed under: Pseudomonadota bacterium
Lineage: Bacteria; Pseudomonadati; Pseudomonadota
Description: Proteobacteria bacterium partial 16S ribosomal RNA
Rfam family: Bacterial small subunit ribosomal RNA
Source: RNAcentral
UGGGGAAUAUUGGACAAUGGGCGAAAGCCUGAUCCAGCCAUGCCGCGUGUGUGAAGAAGGUCUUCGGAUUGUAAAGCACUUUAAGUUGGGAGGAAGGGCAGUAAGCGAAUACCUUGCUGUUUUGACGUUACCGACAGAAUAAGCACCGGCUAACUCUGUGCCAGCAGCCGCGGUAAUACAGAGGGUGCAAGCGUUAAUCGGAAUUACUUGGCGUAAAGCGCGCGUAGGUGGUUCGUUAAGUUGAAUGUGAAAGCCCCGGGCUCAACCUGGGAACUGCAUCCAAAACUGGCGAGCUAGAGUAGGGCAGAGGGUGGUGGAAUUUCCUGUGUAGCGGUGAAAUGCGUAGAUAUAGGAAGGAACACCAGUGGCGAAGGCGACCACCUGGGAUCAUACUGACACUGAGGUGCGAAAGCGUGGGGAGCAAACAGG